Molecule: ribosomal RNA, 247 nt
Filed under: uncultured Oscillospiraceae bacterium
Lineage: Bacteria; Bacillati; Bacillota; Clostridia; Eubacteriales; Oscillospiraceae
Description: partial 16S ribosomal RNA
Rfam family: Bacterial small subunit ribosomal RNA
Source: RNAcentral
CACACUGUAAACGAUGAUUGCUAGGUGUGGGGGGCAACCCCUUCCGUGCCGCAGCUAACGCAAUAAGCAAUCCACCUGGGGAGUACGGCCGCAAGGCUGAAACUCAAAGGAAUUGACGGGGGCCCGCACAAGCAGUGGAUUAUGUGGUUUAAUUCGAAGCAACGCGAAGAACCUUACCAGGUCUUGACAUCCAACUAACGAAGCAGAGAUGCGUUAGGUGCCCUUCGGGGAAAGUUGAGACAGGUGG